GAUGAACGCUAGCGGCAGGCCUAAUACAUGCAAGCCGGACGGCAAGUUGAGUAGCAAUACUUGACCUAGAGUGGCGUAAGGGUGCGUAACACGUAUGCAAUCUGCCCACAGCCGGGAGAUAGCCCUCCGAAAGGAGGAUUAAUAUCCCAUAGGAAGAUGAGAUGGCAUCAUUUUAUUUUUAAACUACGGGGCUGUGGAUGAGCAUGCGGUUGAUUAGCUAGUUGGCGGGGUAAAGGCCCACCAAGGCGAUGAUCAAUAGGGGACCUGAGAGGGUGAUCCCCCACACUGGCACUGAGAUACGGGCCAGACUCCUACGGGAGGCAGCAGUAGGGGAAUAUUGGACAAUGGGUGUAAGCCUGAUCCAGCCAUGCCGCGUGCAGGAA
Molecule: ribosomal RNA, 383 nt
Filed under: uncultured bacterium
Lineage: Bacteria
Description: bacterial SSU rRNA
Rfam family: Bacterial small subunit ribosomal RNA
Source: RNAcentral